Molecule: long non-coding RNA, 3042 nt
Filed under: Canis lupus familiaris (dog)
Lineage: Eukaryota; Metazoa; Chordata; Mammalia; Carnivora; Canidae
Description: lncRNA (ENSCAFG00000050101.1)
Source: RNAcentral
GACACACAGAGAGAGGGACAGAUAUAGGCAGAAGGAGAAGUAGGCUCCCCACGGAGAGCCCAAUGCGGAACUCGAUCCCAGGACCCUGGGAUCCUGAUCUGAGCCAAAGGUGGAUGCUCAACUACUGAACCACCGAGGUGCCUCAAUACAGGUGUAUUUAAUGUGAAGCUUAAAUUACAAAGUUUUAAAAGUUUUUAUUAUCAGAAAAAAAUAGAAGUUGAAAAAAAACAACAUCACUAAUUAGAGUAUUGGAAUUUAAAAUUUUCAGCUUUCUUUUAUUUCAGGAAUUGAUACCUUAAGUUCGGGACUUAGAAAUAUAAAUCAUUUUUAUCACACUUUAUCCCCUUUUGUGAUUUUUUUUUUUCUGUAGACUUCUGGUGAUUGACUAGAGCUAGAGGUUUCUAUGACUUCAUCUUUGAGUUAUUUUUGACCUCGAGUAUUCCUUAUUUGGCUCUUGUUUGAGGACAAAUUAUGCAUUUUUUUUAGUAUAUGUGCUGCCAAAGUGAGCACAGACAAAUUAUGUAUUGAUCUUCAUUAAAAAUUAUAUAAAGAUUUAAAAGCAGGUGUGAGAGAGAACUGUAGUGUAGUAUAUGUGUUGGUUAAGGUACCAAACUUAGUCAUAUUUCUAAGUUUAAAUUUUUUUUUAAAUUUUUAUUUAUUUAUGAUAGUCACACAGAGAGAGAGAGAGAGAGAGAGAGAGAGAGAGAGAGGCAGAGACACAGGCAGAGGGAGAAGCAGGCUCUAUGCACCGGGAGCCCGAUGUGGGAUUCGAUUCCAGGUCUCCAGGAUCGCACCCUGGGCCAAAGGCAGGCGCCAAACCGCUGCGCCACCCAGGGAUCCCUAUUUCUAAGUUUAGAUCAUGGAGUCAUUGCUAUAGCUCUUUGCCCUAGUAUACAUUUCUUAAUUUCUCUUUUUACUUCCUCAUCUGUAAACUCCUCAUCUGUGAAUUUAUUAAUAAUAUUUAAUAGAAGUUUCAUAAGGGUUAAAUGAGGUAAUGUUUGCAGGGUUAUAUACUGUCAUUAGCAGAACAGCAUUCUCUUUAUAUUCUAACCUUAAAUUUGUAUUGUUUUCUGAUUUGCUCUAGGUUUGAGGAGCUAUUUUGCAGUCACCAAAUACAUAUGUGUUUGGUAUUAUAAAUCUAUAACCCAAGGAAGUCAACUUUUCAUUUCUGUUUUCUCUUUAGACUUUUACUACUGGCCACUCCUGUUUUUUGUUUUGUUUUGACCUGGGAGAAAGGAGUGAGAGAGGGGGUACCUAUUCCCUUCACAGUCUUAUGUCUUCUUACCCAUAGUAGCAUUACCCCUUGCUUCAGUUUUAUGAAAACCUCUACCACAGGGCUCCUGUAUUAACCUGGUUGUGAGAUGAUUAUGGCCACUUAGGAGCAUCCUAAGAAAGCUAGGCUACUUCUCCUUGUAGAAGAAGGAUCUAUGUCUAAGUUGAGGGAAAUACUGAAUUUUGGAGGAAGUCUCCUGUUCACAUGUUUUGCUGCUAAUUUGGUAAGAUGUCAGUUUUACUUUCCCUGAGCUUUUUUUUUUUUUUUUUUUGGGUGCUUUAUGUCAGUGAAAACUAAGAAGGCCACAGCUCUCCGUAGAGUUUGUAAACUGGAAGUGUUGUACAAUAAAUGACAAAGGAAGAGGAAAGGAAGUGUGAAGCAUAAUUUCUCAAGCUGUUUUAUUAUCUUCUUUGUGUGUGGUGGUGAAGGAACCUCAAAGAGCCUAGUCUAAGGGUACCUGGGUGGCUCAGUUGGUUAAGCAUCUCCCUUCAGCUCAGGUCAUUAUCCCAGGAUCAAGCUGUGUUAGGUUCCCUGCUCAGUGGGGAAUCUGCUACUCCUUCUCUCCCCCUUCCCCUCUCUUCCUCAAAUAAAUAAAUAAAUAAUUUUUUUAAAGCCUAGCCUAAAUCAUCUUUUGGAAAGUAAAGAUUUAGUUGUUGUUAAUGGAAUGAAAGAUUGUGUGAGUAUGACCAUACGCUGAAGUAAAAUGUCAGUUAAAGAAUGAUUUAAAAACAUAAAGGGAAGCAAGGAUACAUUCCAUUCUUUUUUUCUUUUUAAGUUUUUAAUUAUUUUGGUUCUUUAAAAGAGAAAUUAGGAAAUCUUGGUUCUUUCCACCUCCAAAGAACUGAAGUAAUUUAUAAUGGCUGCCCUCUCUCCCUUCCACAUUUACUCCUUCCCUUCCUAUUUUCCACAUAAUUUUUGACAUUUCAGGUUGGUUCUUUUAUAUUUGGUGUUACUGCAUGUUUUGUAGGAAGCAAAUCAUGUUAUUGUGUUCAUGAUAGAAGACUUGUUUUUCUCCUUAAAAUAUCUGUAGCUCUUUCUUAACUAGAUUAAUUGCCUAGUCCAAUAAAUGUUUCAAAGAGAUCCCUAAGAACGAAUUUUUGAAAUUGUCUCAGAACUAAUCAUGGUUCUUUUUGAGAUCAGAGCUAAGAUUUGUUUUAUUUAAAAACAGUAUCUUUUAAAAUUAAAAUAACCUUUUAAAAUAUUUUUACUUUCCUCCAACAUCAGUAGAUCAUCAUGAUGCUUUGUGGUGUCUAAGUGGCCAUUCAGGAAUAAGGGCUUUUAGGGUCAGAGGUUGUUGAAGGAAAACUUUUACAGAAUAUAAUGAGAAGGCAAGCUGUCCCCUAUGGAAGAACACCUUAGUUUAUUGGUGCAAAGGCUGUAUGAUAGAAAUUGUGUUUUUUUGCUGGAAAGACCCAGUUAUGUGUUUAUGAUAGAAUUGCCUGAGUGGGGAAGGGCAGAUUCUGUAAGAAGGGCUUGUGUGUGGGUCACCUGGAUGGCUCAGUUGUUUAAGUGGUUGACUCUUGAUUUCAGCUCGGGUCAUGAUCUAAGGGUUAUAAGACCAAGCCCUUCAUCAGGCUCUGCACUCAGUGUGGAGUCCACUUGAGAUUCUCUCCCUCUCCCUCUGCCCUCCCUCUACUCAUGCUUGCAUACACUUUCUCUAAAAUAAGUAAGCAAAUAAAUAAAAUUUUUAAAAAGGGGAGGGUUGUGUGUAGGAAGAAAAUAAAUUAUCCAUGAGAAAAUUUUUGAGAUUUUAAGUUUUAAUAUGUUUU